UAAUGCUGCCUGGAUCAUCCUAACUCCAGGGGAGAAAUCUGGCUUCCAAGGUGGCCUUCAAGACAGCAGUGAGGCUGCAGGCCAUUAACUAUCUAGGAAUAAAUGCCACAGCUUCUCCUCAGCAGCACUUAAUCUCCAAGUCAGGGCAAGUGUGCCCACAACAUCCUGAGAGAAGAAAGCCCCACUGAAGAUCCCAGACAUGACUCUCAAGUGUCAAGUCUAUAGCUCUGAUUUCUGUGAGCCUUCAGAAUGUAAGAAGUUGGAAACCAAGUGUGAUCUCUGAAAAACACCACCACCCAGCUAGCAAGGUUCUUUUGUGGUGACCAGAAGAAUCAAUCUGUUCUGCUGUCAGGAAGGCACUCAGCAGAGCUUCUGGCAAUAUGGACAACUUAAGUCUCUAAUGAAGAGAUGGCUGCCUCAUGAUGAGACCCCUGUCCUCAUCAGCAUUCCCACAGACCAUUUGGGUGAGGAAAUGGAAAGCAUGGUAAUCAAACCUAAGAGACCUGAGGCCAGAAGAUAUUUCAGAGUCCAUCUUUUAAAACUCCUGUAGGUUAAAACUAUGGACUGCAGAGCAACAGCAUCAGUUAAAUAAAUACAGAAGGGGGAGUACCUAGCUUGGGGGCAUUUCUUCGAGCAAAGACUUUGGGGUUUUAGUUCAUCUCUCUCCUUAUAAACUGAUCAUGUGUCCUUGCUCCUAAAAGCCAUUCCACGCAUACCCCCACAUUGUCCUCCCUUGGGUUUUCUAAAACACAUUGUUUCUUCUGCCCAGACACCCUUCACCCUUUACCUUAUUUAUCAAGGUACACCUUCUUCAAGACUUAAGUGUCAGUCAGCAACUUCUAGAAGAGCGCCCCACCACCAGUACUCUUCCAUGAUGUCUAAAUCGUCAGUCUAAACCUAUCAUAGCUUUUAACAAAAUGCCCUUUUCCCCUCUUUGCAAAUAAACUUAGUACAUUUGCCCUCUGUGUCCCCAUCACUGAGUACAGCACCUGGUACACAUGACUAAUGAAUAAAUGCUUGAUAAAUGAAUACAUGGAAAAAUGAAUGAAGUACGAUGAA
Molecule: long non-coding RNA, 1059 nt
Organism: Sciurus carolinensis (gray squirrel)
Lineage: Eukaryota; Metazoa; Chordata; Mammalia; Rodentia; Sciuridae
Exons: 3
Source: RefSeq, a predicted model, not a curated record